AGGUUUCUCCAGAACAACACUGACAGGUCGCCCGUGUCUAAACAGAUGCUCCUUUGAGGGAGACGAGAGGCGGUGGCUGUCAAUGCAAUCAUUUACACAGACCGCUGCCGAACAAAUACAGGUUGACUCAAACAACUGAGAAAAAAGAUAAGUCAACGGUGUGGAAUUAAGACUGAUUUUUUAGUAUUGUAGCUGGUUUUUGUUUUUUACAGUAGAACUGUCCUAUAAGUAGGCUUAUUAUGUGAAGUGAUGGUAACGACCUGGACUGAUUGCGGAGCUGAGAAGACUUCUGAUUCAGGUGAGAAAGAAAAACAGGAAAACGAGGAUGAGCCAGCAUGGAGAGUGAUGCAUGAGAUAUGUGACACACCACCCGCAGCUUUCAGAGAGCAUUCUUGGUUGCAUGUGUGUCUGUAUGUUUGUGCAUCUAAGCGUAUAUGAACGUGUGUGUGUGUGUGUCCUCUUGUGAGCAUGGGAGCAUCGAAGAGAGACCCAACAAGUGAGGAAGAGCACAGAGGAGAGACAGAGGACUGUGUGCGUUGGCUGUUGU
Gasterosteus aculeatus aculeatus (three-spined stickleback) is the source of this 547-nucleotide long non-coding RNA. NCBI's taxonomy places the organism in Eukaryota, Metazoa, Chordata, Actinopteri, Perciformes, Gasterosteidae. The record is from Ensembl.